GAGCGAGUUAUCGGGAGAGACAACCGAUCUUCUACUUUACACGCAGGGGGUCAGAGGUUCGAGUCCUCUAUCGUCCACCA
RNAcentral lists this transfer RNA (80 nucleotides) under SAR202 cluster bacterium. Its description in RNAcentral is "tRNA-Val". The record is from RNAcentral. Lineage: Bacteria; Bacillati; Chloroflexota; Dehalococcoidia.